CUACGGGAGGCACCAGUGAGGAAUAUUGCACAAUGGGGGGAACCCUGAUGCAGCAACGCCGCGUGGAGGAUGACGCAUUUCGGUGUGUAAACUCCUUUUAUAUGUCAAGAAAAUGACGGUAGCAUAUGAAUAAGCACCGGCUAACUCCGUGCCAGCAGCCGCGGUAAUACGGAGGGUGCAAGCGUUACUCGGAAUCACUGGGCGUAAAGGAAGCGUAGGCGGGUUGGAAAGUCAGGUGUGAAAUCCUACAGCUUAACUGUAGAACUGCACUUGAAACUUCUAAUCUAGAGUAUGGGAGGGGGAGAUGGAAUUAGUGGUGUAGGGGGUAAAAUCCGUAGAUAUCACUAGGAAUACCUAAAGCGAAGGCGAUCUCCUGGAACAUUACUGACGCUAAGGCGUGAAGGCGUGGGGAGCAAACAGGAUUAGAUACCCUAGUAGUC
This 440-nucleotide ribosomal RNA is filed under the name uncultured bacterium. RNAcentral describes it as "partial 16S ribosomal RNA". It matches the Rfam family "Bacterial small subunit ribosomal RNA", at positions 339 to 795 of the family's 1533-position model. The record is from RNAcentral.